RNAcentral lists this long non-coding RNA (138 nucleotides) under Phascolarctos cinereus (koala). RNAcentral's name for it is "lncRNA (ENSPCIG00000037293.1)". Lineage: Eukaryota; Metazoa; Chordata; Mammalia; Diprotodontia; Phascolarctidae. The record is from RNAcentral.
UGUAGAUUUACUCUGCCUUAGUCCUAGAAUUUCAGAAGGAGGCAGGAAGGCCUAGCUGAAGCUGUUCACCUCUAGAGGGGUGUAAGGCCUGGGGGAUCCUGGCAGCUGAAUGUCUUCUGCUGACUGAGAUGCGCUGGC